RNAcentral lists this microRNA (21 nucleotides) under Rattus norvegicus (Norway rat). RNAcentral describes it as "rno-miR-6319". Lineage: Eukaryota; Metazoa; Chordata; Mammalia; Rodentia; Muridae. The record is from miRBase by way of RNAcentral.
UCAUUCUCGCUGCUCUGGAGU